CAAGGCGACGAUCCCUAGCUGGUCUGAGAGGAUGACCAGCCACACUGGAACUGAGACACGGUCCAGACUCCUACGGGAGGCAGCAGUGGGGAAUAUUGCACAAUGGGCGCAAGCCUGAUGCAGCCAUGCCGCGUGUAUGAAGAAGGCCUUCGGGUUGUAAAGUACUUUCAGCGGGGAGGAAGGUGUUGUGGUUAAUAACCGCAGCAAUUGACGUUACCCGCAGAAGAAGCACCGGCUAACUCCGUGCCAGCAGCCGCGGUAAUACGGAGGGUGCAAGCGUUAAUCGGAAUUACUGGGCGUAAAGCGCACGCAGGCGGUCUGUCAAGUCGGAUGUGAAAUCCCCGGGCUCAACCUGGGAACUGCAUUCGAAACUGGCAGGCUUGAGUCUUGUAGAGGGGGGUAGAAUUCCAGGUGUAGC
This 418-nucleotide ribosomal RNA is filed under the name Salmonella enterica. RNAcentral describes it as "bacterial SSU rRNA". It matches the Rfam family "Bacterial small subunit ribosomal RNA", at positions 269 to 679 of the family's 1533-position model. RNAcentral also lists the same sequence under 1 other name. Lineage: Bacteria; Pseudomonadati; Pseudomonadota; Gammaproteobacteria; Enterobacterales; Enterobacteriaceae. The record is from RNAcentral.